CCUAACACAUGCAAGUCGAGCGACUCUUCGAGAGGAGCGGCGAACGGCUGAGUAACACGUUGGAACCUACCCCAGACUCAGGGAUAACAUACCGAAAGGUAUGCUAAUACCGGAUAGUCUCGUAAGAGUAAAGCUUUUGCGGUCUGGGAGGGGCCUGCGGCCUAUCAGUUAGUUGGUGAGGUAAAAGCUCACCAAGACUAUGACGGGUAGCUGAUCUGAGAGGAUGAUCAGCCAGAAUGGGACUGAGACACGGCCCAUACUCC
RNAcentral lists this ribosomal RNA (263 nucleotides) under uncultured bacterium. RNAcentral describes it as "partial 16S ribosomal RNA". It matches the Rfam family "Bacterial small subunit ribosomal RNA", at positions 47 to 339 of the family's 1533-position model. The record is from RNAcentral.